AUAUUGUUGUAGAUAACAUGCAAAAUACCAAGCUGGACGACAAAUUUUAAUUUAAUACUCGGGAGAGGUAAAUUUACCCCAAAACGACUGGUCUGUAUAAAGGGGACUUGUUGUUUAUUUAAAAGUUUGCCACGCUAACAGAGGAGAAAUGCAGGCGAUGUGGGACUUCCUCUUUGCGUCUGAAGUCCCAAAAAAACAAGUUGACCUUCAACACCUGUUUGUCUUCUGACUCUUCUCCACCCCCUUCAAUUCCCACAAUAACAAAUCACACCUUCACCUUCAUCCUAGACCCCUUCAUUCAUUUCCAUCUACUUCUUCUUUAUCCUUCAAAUCAAAACAGAGUUUUCUUUAUUUUUCUUCAAAGCCACUCUUGUUUUCAUCAAAACUAGUCACGAGAGCUUCUUCUGAAGAAAAUGCUACUGAAGUCACAAAUUCUGUCUUGCACUGACUCUGCAGGUGGUAAUGUUUCUGGUUCUCAUAUCUGCGGGUGUCCACAGCGGCCUGGCCAGCUUCCGUGACACCUGCGAGAAACUCAUCGGAGAUCGAGCUUACCGUGUUCGUUUUGCAGGAACAUCACUACCUUUGUACACAUUUUUUCUUAUAAGCUGCAGAAAAACCUUAUUAUCCUCAAUGACUUGUGCCCAUAUCCAUUCUCUUAUACCAUGAUAUGAUUGUUUUAUUUGUUUUAGAAGUUGCUUCAAAUUUUAAACUGAUAUGUCAUCAAUGUUUUGCUUUAUGAUGCAAGUAUAUUUUAUUAAUCACGGAUAUUGAUUAAAAUUUUAAACUAAUAUGUUCAUCAAUUAACUUGUGUGGCUUUCUAACUUCAUCUCCUUCUUGUUGUUGUAUCCUUCAACCUUUAAUGUUUUAGAGGUUGCAGCAGUUGACAAGCUUAUAUUACAUCUCUAUGAAACUGAAAUUAUGAGAACAUCCAGACAUCCAAUGGUUUCAAACAAAUCCAAACAAUUGCAUAUAUCAAAAAUAGAACAUGUCGUUGGGCAGGUAAUAUGAUGUCUUGCUCAUAUCAUAUGGAUUGGAAAUUAUGUGGCUGUUGCUGUUUCAUUUGCCUCAAUUUCACACAAUUCAUUUGAUGUUUGGAAUGGAGAUGGGAAACUGGCUAAAAAGAUAUGGAGAAGAUUUUGAGAUUGUUAAGGGUAGAACAAACUGGUGGUGGCUCAUGGUGGUUUGUGGUAGUAGAUUUAGAUCCGGACUUGGUAGUUGGGUUCGGAUCUAGAUCCGAAUCUUUGGUAGCUGCUGAGAAAGAUAUGGCAUGGUUUCUCUUUGAGAUUAUCUUCUAUCUCUUUCUUUACGUGGCUUGUUACACAAAACUCCAUUAAUUUUCAUUUUGAAUUUUAUGGGUUAAGAUAUGGCAUGGUUAUCCACUUCUGUGAUGAUAUUUUUGAAGCCGUGAGGACUCUUUGCUUGUAGUAUUUUUAUUGUGAGUCAUUAUAGUCAUCACUCUUCAAAAUUGUUGCUUAAGUGGCAUUAUGCAUGCUAACCGGCUGCCAUGGAAAUGCCUUAUGUGUUUCAAGAAGCUUCUGGAGGUCAACGAAAAAACAGAUCUGGUGUCUAGAGUUCCUUGGAACUAGUUAGUCAGAUUUGGUUUGUCGGAUAAUUGUGGUGGUUCAGCUUUUAAUGGAUUUUAAGAGUGGUUCAUGGAUUGGAUUGCGGUGCUUUGGGGUGAGCUUUUGGGUGGUAGUUUAGGUUGUGUGGUGGUGGUGAUGUGAGUAGGUUGCGGGUAGUGUUGUUCAAAUCCGCCAUUUUUGCUCCACCAUUGAUUCUCUUUUACUACGGCGACGAAAACAUUCUCCUUGUCACAGGCGACCGCCUUUUUAUGACCUGGGUUGUGGUUCCGCUUCAAACCGGCGUCGCUGCCCGUGUUUUGUUGUUGGAUUUCGUCUUCCUCUAAAUUUAUGUUUGUGUUGUUGCUUGUUUCUUGGUGAGGAUAUUUUUGUGGCGUAGUGAUGCAGUGACGGUGGUGGUGAUGCGCGGUGGUGAUGCAGUGGUGGUGGAGGUUAUUCAAUUGUGGUGGGGUGGUGAUGUGUGGUGGGGGUGAUGAUGUGUGGUGGUGGUUGGUGUUUUAAGUGAGGAGGUGGGUGCUUGUUAGGGUGAUUUCCUUUAGAAGCAACCUCUGUUACACGGGUUCAUGUUCGUCGUCAAUAGCUCUUGGUUGUCCUUUUUGCGUGGUUUAGGUUUGCGUCUUGCGGGGAUGACGUUUAAUAAUAUUUGCCGAUUAAAAAAAACAAAAAAAAAAAAGUGCUAUCCCUUUUGCAGCAAUACUUGUUCAUUCGAUUACCAUAUUUUACAAUCACUGCAAUAACAUUAGGGGCACACUUUGCACAUCCACUGCAAACUAAGUCUUUGAUUUUAUUUUACCACUAAAAUUAAAAAUAAUAUUUGUAUGAAAUUAAUAGAUAUGUUCUAUCGAUGUAAA
Molecule: long non-coding RNA, 2431 nt
Organism: Medicago truncatula (barrel medic)
Lineage: Eukaryota; Viridiplantae; Streptophyta; Magnoliopsida; Fabales; Fabaceae
Exons: 2
Source: RefSeq, a predicted model, not a curated record